RNAcentral lists this unclassified non-coding RNA (2191 nucleotides) under Rhagoletis pomonella (apple maggot). Its description in RNAcentral is "ras-related protein Rab-8A-like, transcript variant X1". Lineage: Eukaryota; Metazoa; Arthropoda; Insecta; Diptera; Tephritidae. The record is from RNAcentral.
ACAGUUUAAUUAACUUCCUGCGUGCUUAGGUAUCGAUUUCAAACAGAAACUCAUCAACUUGGAUGGAGUGCCAAUAAAGCUACAAAUUUGGGAUACAGCAGGACAAGAAAGAUUUCGAACGCUAACCACAGCUUAUUAUCGCGGAGCUAUGGGCAUACUACUGAUGUAUGAUGUGACGAACUUGGAGAGUUACAAUAACCUGUCAUAUUGGCUGCGAAAUAUUCAAGAGAACGCGUCACCGGAUGUUGUCAAAGUCUUGGUUGGCAACAAAUGCGAAUGUUCGGCAACGCAGCGAGCGGUUGACAAAGAAAGAGGCGAAAAAAUUGCUGAAAACUUCGAUAUGCCAUUCUUUGAGGUGUCCUGCAAAUGCAACAUAAACAUUGAGGAGGCUUUUCUAGCAUUGGCAAGAAAAAUCCGAGAACAGCGCGAACGCCGGGGUGAUAAUUUUGAUAACGACGAAAAGACACAAGACAAAAAAUCGCCCGGUUCCAACGGCUUAGGUACAUUCAGCUUGGCCAGCUUGUCCGAAGGCAAUCGUUGCUCCUGCUAAGCCGAACGGAAAUAUUCCACAUACUCCUAAGGAACAAUACGUCCAAUAGAGUGCUAUAGUGGAAUACUUCCAUGCAUACAUACAAACAUAUGCGUGUAUAUGUACGCCUAAGUAUACAAGUACAUACCACUGGCCGGGCAAGUGCAUUCAGUGUGAGUGUGGGAACGUUGGUUGGCUGGAUUUUGAAAUCAGGCAGACUCAGACGUACGUAUAGAAAUAAAUCGCUGUUUGAAUCUCAACGCUUCAUAUUUGUAGCAUAUGUACGUACGUACAUAUGUAUAUUGCGAAUUGGGUUACUUUAAACAGUGUUUUUUGAAAUACCAUUAAUUAGGCGCUGGAGUAGUUAGUUACAUCCAUAAAUUAAUUGCCGUUUGGUUGCUAAUUAAUGAAAAUUUACUCUUGAACAUACAUAUGUAAGUACAUAUGAGGCAAUGAGAGUCAGAGGAGCAUAUCUACAUACGAAAAAAUUUGUUUGAGUAAUAUGCGAAGGAAGGAUUUAUAAAUACUAAAUAGCAGGGACGUGAACAGGUUUUAAACCGAACCGGUUUUGAACCGGAAAACCGAUUUUUUCUAUUAAUUAACUGAACCAUUAACCGAACCGAAAUUUUCCACAAAUGUUUGAUCCGAACCGAAACCGAACCAAUUUUCAUAAAGGUUUAAAGGUUAGUUUAAUCCAAUUUUCAUUAGAUAAAUUUACACGCUUUUGUUUCGUUUCGUUAAAUAUGGUAAUACCUACAACGUUUGUUUACCAUGUGGAAAUAUCAAAUGUAAAGGCAACUCAUCUCAUUUAGCACACACUUAAAAUUUAACCUUGCGCUUUGUUGCACUUGACACUUUACACUCAGACUUGCGCGUUAUUUUUUUUCCCCCAACCCUUGAACAGAACCAAAACCCCGGUUCAAAGACUAAAAAAAACGCUUUGUCGAACCAAUGCAAAAGUGCAAAAACGGUUCGAACCGCUAAACCGAACCGACCAAAUUUUUCAUCCGGUUCACGUCCCUGAUAAAUAGGGUCUUUCACUGAAAAGUUCAUUGCAUCUACGUGAUGCUGCCUGUUAGAGUAAAAUAAAACUGAACAGGCGUGUCUCGGGCUAUUAGCGUUUCAUUCUAUUAAUGCAUUUUAAGCUGUACCUCACCUUUUUAAUGUAAGGCUACUUUGGCUCUCAAAGCCUCAUAUGUACAUAUAUAUGUAAGUAAAACAUACACAUUAUGUACAUAUGUACAGUGUUGGACAAAAGAUAUUUGACUGGGAAUCGGAACUUGAUUAAAAUGAGACUUAAAAGAUUUCGAAAAAAUUGUUAAAUAGUUUAAUUAGUUUAUACACGCAACACGGAUUAAAAUUUUUCUUAAAAAUAAUUGAAUUUUAAAAUUUGGAUUUGCUCAUUUUCAGAAAUUGUUGCGCAACACAGCAUUUUAUUGUGGCAACAUUUGGCCAUAUAAGGCUAUCGAAAAUAGAGUUGUUUUGUUGAAUAGUGUGCAUAAAAAUACAUAAACAAUUUUAUAGUACAUAUUUGUUUUCUUACUUACACUGAUUUUUUCGAAUGUUUCAUUUUACUAAAUAUUAUACUAUUUCUAUCAGAAAAAGGACGCAAUCUUGCAUGGCUAUCCAUAAUUUAAAUAACAAAAAAACAUCAAUAUUAAG